RNAcentral lists this long non-coding RNA (4128 nucleotides) under Canis lupus familiaris (dog). Its description in RNAcentral is "lncRNA (ENSCAFG00030009583.1)". Lineage: Eukaryota; Metazoa; Chordata; Mammalia; Carnivora; Canidae. The record is from RNAcentral.
ACGAUUCUCGGCGCGCCCCGGACCCAGGGCACGUCGGGAUCACCCUCGCGCCCCCUCCCCUCCGCCUGCGGGCCGGAGCCCGACACCCCCCGGAGCGCCCUGCAGGCCGCCGCGAGCUGCACCCCGCCGUCCUCGCCCCGUCCCCCUCCAACUAGGUGCAGGGACCCGGGGAGGCGCGCGAGGACCGACCGGUCACCGCUGAAAUUACCUCAUCGCUUCAGCUCCCCGCCCCUUUCCCAAACCUGGAAGAAGCGUCCCUCCGGCCGGAGGCGCCCCCCCCGCCCCCCGCUCGCCAGCCGGUCGCGGGCCGCGCGCCGCCUCCCGGGGCCGCCUCCCCGGGCCGCGCGCAGCCAAGGGUUAAGGGCGCCGGCCGGGCCGUCCGCCGCGCCGUGCGCUCGCGCUGCUCCGAGCCGCCCGCCGCCCGCCGCCCGCCGCCGCGGGGCCCCCCCCCGCCACCCCCCCACCCCCCACCCCCCACCCCCAAGUCGGAUCCUUGAGCUGCGGCGGCGGCAGCCAACUGCUCCAUAUUUGGCUUCUAUUACACAUUUACAUACUGGAGCGAGCGAGCGAGCGAGCGAGCGCGAGAGAGCGCGAGGGAGGGAGGGCGGGCGGGCGGAGGGAGGAGGGAGGGGAGGGGAGCGGGGGGGUCGGAGGAGGAGGAGGGCGAGGAGGAGGAGGAGGAGGAGGACGAGGAGGAGGAGGAGGAGGACGGGGAGGAGGAGGAGGAGGAGAGAGCAGAGUGUACCGCAGACAUCAUUUCUACUACAGUGGCGGAGCCGUACAGGACCUGUUUCACUGCAGGGGGAUCACAAAACAAGCCCCGCGGAGCAGCCGCCAGAGCUACAGCAGCCGCAAGACACUGUUUCUCUCCCUCUGCCCCCCCUUCCCCACGCAACCCCAGAUCCAUUUACACUUUACAGAGCAUCGUGCAGCAGCCAGUCCCCAGGGUGGUCCGUUCAAGCUGCGGAUUUGUUUGCCAUCACUCUAAGACAAUCUCCUCCUCCACGGCCACUCCAGGGAAGUGCAUCACAAAUCAGUUAUCCUAUUUCUGCUGAAGGUAUUUGUUGGAAGGGCUAAACGAGGUAAAACAUGUAAAAUACAUGACAUAUCCUGGUACGGAAGUGAUCAUUUAAAAAACUGAAUGCUGGGACACCUGCGUGGCUCAGCGGUUAAGCAUCUGCCUUCGGCUCAGGGCGUGAUCCUGGAGACCUGAGAUCCGGCUUCCUGCAUGGAGCCUGCUUCUCCCUCUGCCUGUGUCUUUGACUCUCUUUAUGUAUCUGUCACGAACAAAUAAAUUAAAAAAUCUAAAAAAUAAAAAAUAAAAUAAAAUAAACUGAAUGCUGAUUUCCACAUUUCUGUCUCAGAUGACGGUAUGAAUGGGCGUAGAACGCGGCAGGUGAUCCAGGACAAAGAAAUGUUUUCGUUGUUUUUGCAUUGCAGAGCAGGGGAUCAUGUAAUUAUUUUAUUUUAUUCCUUGUCAUCUUAAACUUGGAUUGCUGAUGGGAACAUCUAGGUAGCAGAUAAUUGGGUAUAUACUUCUAGAGUUGAUAGGAGACAAAGAUUUGGGAAUAGUCAGUAAAACUGUAGGAGGUCUUUCAACAGGACUCAACAGAGAAUGAAAGAGAAGAGAUCCCUGAGAAAACAUUUAUAGGUUGGAUUUGGAAGAAGAUCCAUCAGAGAAAAUUAGGAGGCCUGGAUUCUUGUCCCAGUUCUGACACUAACUGGUUUUCUUAACCUUUUAAGAAACACUUAAUCCUUUCAGGGGCUUCUCUUUCUUUUGAGCUUCACUGUCUCUCUUCAUCCCCCUCCCCCUUCUUCCUUCCUUCCUUCCCUCCCUGAAUUCUUCAUUAAUUUGACAAAUAUUUCAUGAAUGCCUGCACAGAAUACAGAAUCACAGAGAAGGGCCUCUAAAUCAGAAUGACGUGGGGAUAAAGGAAGUCAGGGGAGGCUUGCAGAAUGCAUGUCCUUCAAACCGAGCUUUUGGGAAUGAGGAGUAGUUCAGACAAGCAGGUGCAAGGAGAGACAAAGACAAGUGCAGAAUGGCGCAUGCAUGGGCACACAGAAGAGCAAUGAGCAGGUCAGGGAGGCAGGCCUGAUGGCACUGGAAAGCUUCAAGCCUGGAUCAGGAAGGGGCUUCUUGUGCCAAACCCAGGAACCUGGCUUUUACCCGGAAUGUGAAGCAAACCCCAAACCCACUGAAGGAUGUGAGGCAGGGAUAUGAGAAGUCAGGUGUGUGUUUUAAAAACCUCAUUUUUUUCUAGUGCGAUGCAGGUGGCAUAAAAAGGGACCAGGUGGUGGGCAGGGAGACCAGAGAGGAAACAGUUAGAGAAAUUCAGGUGGUGACAGAGGAAUGUUUGUUUAACCACCGUGGAGCACCUGCUUCAUGCUAAUCAUUGGUCUGUGUGCUCUGGAUCCCGCACGGACCAGGAGACUCAGCCCCCUUGUUCUCGGGGAGCGUGGAAUGACAGUGGAAAUGACAGGACCAGGCUGGAGACAGCAGAUUGGAGGGCUGUUAACGAGGCAGAAUCUAAGGACUUGAAGGUGAGUGAGAGGAUGGGGUUUCUGCUUUGGAUAAGUGGGUGAACAGUGAUACCACUCAUUACAUUGGGGAACCCAGCAGAAGAACUAAGGAGGGCCUCCAGGUGGAGGUGUCCAGCACGUACUUGGAUAAACAGCUCUAGACCUCAGAGGGGGGCCUCUGCAGCUUAUGUGUUUGCUACAUCAAAGAAUUGUACUAGGUGUUUAACUUACGUGAUUUUAUUCAGUUCCAUGAUUGAAUUUCAGUGACCUCCUCUGGCAGUUGCUUCACUGAGGACCAAGUGCCUUCUGCAUCUCCCCAGAACCUCGUGUGGGGCUGGGCAACACAGUUGGGGUUCUAAUUGUUUUAGGUGGAGCUGAGAGCCAGUGGCACUGCCUUCACUCUGUGCUGAUUGCUGCUUCCCCCUAACCCCUCCAGUCCACCUUGACUUCGGCCUGCUGUGUAAAUGGCCUGGGGCAGUUGUACCAUAUUCAGAUCACACGUGCUCAUGGAGUGCUCCAGCUUAUAGGGCUUCAAGGAUGGUUUGGGUCCUACUGUGUACAUUUUACAGAGAGAAGACGCCUAGUGGCAGGUCAUGAGGUUUCCAAAAUUCUAGCGGGGCCGAGAUUAGAUCUAAUUCAGUAGACCCUUUGGCACUGCCUCCCCUCCCCCUCCCUUAUUUACACUGGGGUCCUUGUAGGGUGAUUUCUUAGGUAUGUAUUUGUGCAGAAUCUGGAAAUGACUAAGCCUGUGUGUGUGGCUUUGAGACUUGGUGGCAAGAUCACCGAGAAGCUUUGGAUGCCUUCAGCUCUACCGUAGGGGGACGAUGCCCUUGGUGCCAUGCGUGGAUUCAGGCAGCUGUCUGCCCGCACGCCCUUGUGUGGGGUGCCCUCAGGAGGCUCCCCGUCAGGAAUCAUUUAACCCAGGUGUGGAGUCACACUGCUCUGAGCCUUCAAAGAAAAAGUAAAAAGUACAGAAAUGACCUGCCUGAGUGUGAGAAGCACUUCUCGCUGGUAAGAGUUUCAAGUGCGAGAGAAAGAGACGUGUUGAAAGGACAUUUACUUUCAUCAGCUUAGAGCAUCUGCUUUUUAUUCUUUAAAAGGAAGCAACACCUCAAAUUACAGCAGUCCCUCGGCAAGCAAGCACUUGAGAUUUUGAUCUCUGCAGAUUCUUCGAGGGAGUGUCUCACAGAGCUUUUAGGCGGGAUCUGUAGCUCUUGACAGAGGCGGUAGGAUGAGUUUUUGUGGGGAAGGGGAGUGGGCAGGGAAGACACAGUCCUCUGUGAAACAGCGCACGAGCCAUUUCUCUCCUGCCUGGGUGGAAGUGGAAACCGUGCUCAGCAGACCCUAGAGACCAAAUUAAAAUAGAUAAGAAAUGAACACUAAACACCAUGUUUUAAAAAAAAUUUUUUAGGUUUUUUUUUUAAGAUUUUAUUUAUUCAUGAAGACACACAGAGAGAGGCAGAGACAUAGGCAGAGGGAGAAGCAGGCUCCCUGUGGGGAGCCCAAUGCGGAACUCGAUCCUGGGACCCCAAGCAGAUGCUCAACCACUGAGCCACCCAGGUGCCCCCCUCUUUUUUUCGUUUUUAAUGCAGUGCCCACUUCAGAGCA